RNAcentral lists this ribosomal RNA (460 nucleotides) under uncultured bacterium. RNAcentral's name for it is "partial 16S ribosomal RNA". It matches the Rfam family "Bacterial small subunit ribosomal RNA", at positions 338 to 795 of the family's 1533-position model. The record is from RNAcentral.
CCUACGGGAGGCAGCAGUGAGGAAUAUUGGUCAAUGGGCGAGAGCCUGAACCAGCCAAGUCGCGUGAAGGAUGACGGCCCUACGGGUUGUAAACUUCUUUUGUCAGGGAGCAAUUGGGUCCACGCGUGGGCUUAGCGAGAGUACCUGAAGAAAAAGCAUCGGCUAAUUCCGUGCCAGCAGCAGCGGUAAUACGGAGGAUGCGAGCGUUAUCCGGAUUUAUUGGGUUUAAAGGGUGCGUAGGCGGAAUAUCAAGUCAGCGGGAAAAAUUCGGGGCUCAACCCCGUCGUGCCGUUGAAACUGAUGUUCUUGAGGGGGCGAGAGGUAUGCGGAAUGCGUGGUGUAGCGGUGAAAUGCAUAGAUAUCACGCAGAACUCCGAUUGCGAAGGCAGCAUACCGGCGCCCAACUGACGCUGAGGCACGAAAGCGUGGGUAUCGAACAGGAUUAGAUACCCCUGUAGUC